This 73-nucleotide transfer RNA is filed under the name Tigriopus californicus. RNAcentral describes it as "tRNA-Val for anticodon UAC". It matches the Rfam family "tRNA". From Rfam's summary of the family: Transfer RNA (tRNA) molecules are approximately 80 nucleotides in length. Their secondary structure includes four short double-helical elements and three loops (D, anti-codon, and T loops). The record is from Rfam by way of RNAcentral. Lineage: Eukaryota; Metazoa; Arthropoda; Copepoda; Harpacticoida; Harpacticidae.
GCUCUUGUGGUGUAGUGGUUAUCACAUCUGCUUUACACGCAGAAGGUCUCCGGUUCGAACCCGGGCGGGAGCU